GGGCUUAUAGCUCAGUUGGUAGAGCGCACGCUGGCCCCGAGUUCAAACCUCGGUAAGUCCA
This 61-nucleotide transfer RNA is filed under the name Rozella allomycis CSF55. RNAcentral describes it as "tRNA-Und (NNN) (tRNA-Und-NNN-1-1)". It matches the Rfam family "tRNA". Rfam says of the family: Transfer RNA (tRNA) molecules are approximately 80 nucleotides in length. The record is from RNAcentral. Lineage: Eukaryota; Fungi; Rozellomycota.